RNAcentral lists this long non-coding RNA (5436 nucleotides) under Sarcophilus harrisii (Tasmanian devil). Its description in RNAcentral is "lncRNA (ENSSHAG00000028919.1)". The record is from RNAcentral. Lineage: Eukaryota; Metazoa; Chordata; Mammalia; Dasyuromorphia; Dasyuridae.
AAGCUGCUGCUAAGCCCGGCGCCGCCGCCGCCGCCGCUCCGCCCGUCUGUCCGUGCGCCCCGCCUCCCCCAGAGCUAGGCGGAGCCGGGACCGGAGGAGCAGGCGGAGAGGUCGGAGCAGUCUCUGGUCGCCCGGACAGCCACAGUCCCUGGGCAGCUGCUGCGGAGGGAGAUUUCCUUGACCAUUUGAACCUGAAAACACGGUGUCGGACAGCCUCUUAUCGAUCCCGUCCAGAACCUCCCCGAAGAUGUCCAGCAAGACCACCAACACCAACAGCGUGGCCCAGGCCCGGCGAACCGUGCAGCAGCUGAGGUUGGAGGCGUCCAUAGAGAGGAUCAAGGUGUCCAAGGCGUCUGCGGACCUCAUGUCCUACUGCGAGGAGCAUGCCCGGGGGGAUCCUUUGCUCAUGGGAAUCCCGACUUCAGAAAACCCCUUCAAGGAUAAAAAAACGUGCAUCAUCUUAUAGGGCGUUGGGGAGCCCCCGGUGCCGCCCCCAUGAUCUAAGCAGCUCCAUGAAGAAACGUACCUUCCGCUCACUUGGUAACCACUGCUAAAAACGAAAAUGCUUUUAACUUGUAAAAACAAACAAACAAACAAAAAAUGAGUUUUAAAGCCUUUGUUUUUAAAAGUCUCCCUCUCUUUAGAGCAUACCCUUUACAAAAUGGAUGGGAAUCGGUCCGUUUGUCCUUGGUUUCAGUUGAAAUGACUCCAGGUGGUUCUUCUCUUAGGUCGGCUUCGGUUUGAGGGAUGCUGGUUGGGCUCGGCUUCUGUGUAAAUCCAUUGUCCAGUGAUCUGCUUUUUGAUUUGAGGGAAGACCAAAGUUGCCUCCUCCUCUUUCCAGAUCCCCCAGGCCCGCGGGUCUCUAAAACGCUUGCCCCCUCAGCACCCGUAAUCGGCCCGGUGCCUCUCUGUACAGUCCCCAAGUCUCGCAUGUGUUUGGCGUGUAUAUAUGACUUUGUAUAUAUACAUUUCAAAGUGCAGAUUUUCUAGCCCCCCGCCCCCGAGUUCUGCCUCUAGCCGGCCACCAAGGCCUCCGCCUACGGCUUCGGGGUGACGGGGACGGCCGCCCCCCAAGAGUCGUUUUCACGAUACCAAAUUCUGAUCACUUUCUCAUCGUCGUCACCCUCUUGUUUGCUUCUCUGGCCCUCACGGCCUAAAUAUAAACGGUGCCAAUUUAAGAGAGCGAAAAACAAACCCCUCUUGUAAUUCGAGGUGCUACGCUGUGAGGGCCCCCUUUGCUUUUACGGACCCAGCGCAGUCAGGAUACAGAAUCUCAAAAUCCCAGAGCCGGAUUGUCCAACCCGUGCCUAAACACGUAUCCUUUCUGUCACCCCUCCGGACAGGUCAUCCGCCUGCUCUGCCGGAGACCACGGACACCUCAGAGUUUUGUUUUUAAUUCAUAAAAUAAAAUUUAUAGGAUUACAACAAAGGAAAGCAGUUAUACCGAAAUUAUCAAAAUAGGAAAAAAAAAACAAGUUUAUGGACCCUCGUUAAAACCCCGGUCUAAUCCAGCCCAUUCCCCAUCUACACUAAGAAGUGGUCAUUGCUCAAAAACCUCCAUAAAGGUGAACCUCGCAAGGUGACCCAUUGGGAUAACCCAAAGGGCUAGGAGAUUUUUCCUAACCUCAAACCUAAAUUUGCUUCCCCUUGUUGCUCCUCGUUCAACCUUCCAAGGUCAAGCAGAAGGAGGGGAAGUGUAUUCAUGGGCCCAGUGACCAGAGAAGGGAGGUUGCAUGAAUGUGGUUUUCUCUACAAAAAAGGAAAUCAAUUAGCCUGCUAAUUGGGGGAGUCCGCCUCCUUCCUCUUGUAGGUCCAUCCAUUCUCUCUCCUCCCUCCCUUCCUCUUCCCUAAAUCUUACCUGUGUGUGGGUCUCCUCUCCUCCUCCCCUUACCUAAUCCCAGUUUGUAGAACCGCGGGCAGAAAAGGCCCAAGAUGUUGGUGGAGUGUCCCAUUCCUAGCAGCCCACCCUGCCCUGCUCUUCCUGGAGGCAAGACUAAGCAGUGUGAGAGAAGGCAACCCCCCCAAUAGAAAUACAAAGUAAAGAAGUCACCUUUCAUUCCCCCUCCCACUCAGGUCACUGCAGAGCUGAGCAGAGGACGUCCUGGGGACUUUUGGCUGGACUUAAAUGGCCCCCUCUGGGCCCAGCCCCUCCAGGCAGGUCAGGAGGGUCCUUAUGGACACAGACUGUGCACUGACUGCGCUAGACGCAUGGCAAUUCCCCUUCCCUCAUCUGUCACUCUGGGAGGCUGAUGCACUCUGACCCCUCACAGGCUUGAGCUGGGAGCCUUGGAGGCUCUCCAGAAAUGCGACUUGUUAGAAAAAUUCUUUACGAAUCCCAGUGGCCACGAACGCUGCUCCGGAAAGCCAGCCAAGGGGAUUCUGUCUAAUGGGCCCUUAGCAGACGCUCUUGGAGGCAGCAGCCCCUUUGAGGAGUGCUUUGUUCUAUCUGGGAGAAAAACCCUCCACAUCUGGAUUGAUCGUGGCCAUCAGACAGAUUCCCCUGCCUUCUUGUGGCGACUGUUGUGGAGGUUGGGAGCUUUGCCCUUCGUGCCUGGGAUUCGCCAUCACCCCUCACUACCAGCUUUGAAAACCGCUGCUCAGUGCUAUGGUUUGUCCCAUCCCCAAGUAAACGGAGGGCCUCCCCUCCCCAUGUCCAAAGCAAAAGGGUUACCCCCCCCUUCCAAAGCAUUAACUCGGCUGCGUAGAUGGGGAAAAAACCAUUCUCCCGGCCCCGACCCCCUCCUCACACUCUCCUCUUCUUCAAUGAUCUUAUUUUUGUAACGACCAUUUCCCAACUUAAUCCGUAUUUUCCAAUCUGAUUUUAACCACUAAUCAUGUAGAAUGCAGCCUGUUGCAAAAAGUGCAGUAGAGCUUGAUUCCAUGGGGACCCCGCCACUGAGGGUAGUCGCCCCUUACUCCGUAGUGUUAAACGGAUCCUUUAAUCUCUUAUUUCUAGUACUGGGCUUGCCCCGGCCAGGUCUGGCCCCUCUACCCCGCUCCACCUGCUCCUCCCCUGGCCUGCUGGAGAGCCUCCAGGCCUUCAAGCAUGGGCUCAGCUGCCCAACCAGCAGCCAAAGCCAAAUGACCCCAGAUCUAGACCUUGGCUUCUGGACCAAGACCGAAGUAAUAAUUCAGUGUUGACGGACCUAGAACCAAAAACAUUGUUGAUGUACCUAGAACCAAAAAGAUUAUAUGAGGAAAGAUAAUAUAUAUGUCUAUGCUAAACAGAAGUACAGAAGUCCCUUUUAUUUAACCGGCUCGAUCCCCCUUGUAAGGUUCAGCCGCUCUCGGAGCAGCUGCUGUGAUGAUUUGGGGCAGAUGUCUGGGUGUAUGACACCGUAAUGUUGACAGAGAUAUACGCCCACAGAUGUGUAUAUAUAAACUGUAACCCUCUGGCUUGGUUAUCACUGCACUUUCUACAGCGUGGGUUCAACGUAUGAACUUUGAUGGUAGUUUUGCCAAUAUGCUGUUUUCUCGGUUCGUCCCUUUCCCUCCAUCAUUCCAACACGUCUGUACAGUUUUUAUUUAAACUCGAGGUCUCAGUGCCAUGACCAUGUGCUAAAUAGAAUUUAUUGGUCCCAAAAUCUUUUACAGAAACACCUUUUGGACAGGGGAAAUAUUUUAUGUACCAGAUAAUCGAUUAACAAGUGAUACACUGUGUCUGCUUGCUCUUUUUUCCUACAAAAUCUGGUUUUUAAGUUCCCUGGGCGAAUUAAAAUCAAAAGUGCCAUAUUCACCUUUUAGAGAAAAGGUCUGGUGUUUGCUUUCAGCCCAAUUGAGACAAUUUUUAUACUUUUUUCAUCUAAACCACCAGAAGAAAAAUUUAUACCAAUAUUUUAGUGUAUAUAAAUGUGCAUAUGUUUUAACAGAUUCAUAGAGAUUUAUGGAAAUGCAGAGGCAUCUUUAAACCUGAGGCAGAGGCUAGAAAAACAAAUGGUGGAGGAUAUGUUCAGCUGUCUUUUCAGUUCUGUUAUAGCUAACUUUCUCGAUUUUAAAUGAAACGAGAAAAAUGGCAUUUAGCGAUCCGGUUACCCUGAAUUUCUUUUUUCUUUUGAGCUAAAACCUUCGAAAAGAUUCAUGGGCUUAGGAAGUGAAUUCUAACAUAAAUUAAUCCUUCCUUGCUGUCCGCCCUUAUACCAAAAGAUGAAUAUAUGACUAAGUGAGUGAGUAACAAUUCUCAAAGCUCUAAUUCGAAUAAUUAUGAGAAAAUCGAAUCUGGAAACUUCAGAUCGAAAUCUAUAAUUCCUGGCUUAUUGGCAGUGGUACGGAAAUUAAUCAAACCAUCCUUUUCUCUGAAUCAUAAACUGUCUCAGUUGGAAACGAUCCCAGAAGUCAUCUCGGCCAAGCCGUACUGGAAAAAGUGCUCCGGGACGACAUCCCCAAGUGUGGUCACCCGGUCCUUGCCCGACCGGGCAAGCCUCCCAGGCGAACCCUUCCGCUUUGGGAGCGUUCUGAUGGGUGGUGGGAAGAGAUUCCCGGCCUCCGGCCGCCACUGAUCUGUCUUCUGCCCUCCGGGGCCAAACGGAAUAAAUCUGAUUCUCCCUCCCCAGCCCCCUGAGCCAGGGCUCCAGGCCGCAUCCUCGGUGCCCCCCGGGCACGCGCUCUAAAGCACUGUUUUCAGAGAGGUUUCCCAGGGUUCCAAAGUCGAAGGCAGUAGGAUAGCGAGCCGGGACUGCCCGGCACCGGGUGACUCGCUUCCCGAUCCGGCCCCAGUCCCCCGGGCUGAGAAAGGACGGGCGAACCGGGUGACUUCUGGUCGUUCCAACUGGACAGACAGCUCCAUGGCCCCCCGACCCUCGCUCUCCCGCCGCCAUCUUCGUGCUGUGAGCCUCGCUGUGCUGCUGCUAUCUAAAUGUCGCUCCCCUCUCACGUCGCCCGCGCUAACGGCCCCCGAAAGUGUUUCUCCUGCCGCUAUUUUCUCACAGUUGGAAAACCUGCCUUUGUUACUCCCGUGGCGAUGAUGGUGUUUUGUUCCCUCCCGACUUUGUGGACUCCGUGACUUGCUUAAUGUUCUCUGUAUUGUUCGUGUGACUCCCCUGCGUGUCCUUUGGGUGUCCCCGAAAAUUUGCCUUUGAUUUCUAGUCCCUGAGACUCAGCCGUGUCAGAGCCUUCUCUGGCCCCUUGUAUGUUGUGUCGUGCGUAACCUUGACGCUGUGAUCAUCGUCCGAAAGACUGUCAAAGAUGGAAGCGUUUCUCUCCCAGCUCCUAUGUUCAAUAGCACGGAUACCAAUCAAACGAAUUAAAACAUCACGGCUUUCUAUUCUGCAUCGGCCUCCGCUUGUCUCAUUCUGUUCCCGGCGCUUCUCGGAGGGGUCCCUGGCCUUCCCGGGGCUGACAGAUGGACCGGCCCCAGGCCGCAACCCUCGCCCUCGGGACCAUCCCUCCUCCCUCCCCCGUGGUUCGGAGCCUCUCCCCCCACUUCCAUCCCUGGGGGAG